RNAcentral lists this transfer RNA (77 nucleotides) under Crenotrichaceae bacterium. RNAcentral describes it as "tRNA-Pro". It matches the Rfam family "tRNA". From Rfam's summary of the family: Transfer RNA (tRNA) molecules are approximately 80 nucleotides in length. Their secondary structure includes four short double-helical elements and three loops (D, anti-codon, and T loops). Further hydrogen bonds mediate the characteristic L-shaped molecular structure. tRNAs have two regions of fundamental functional importance: the anti-codon, which is responsible for specific mRNA codon recognition, and the 3' end, to which the tRNAs corresponding amino acid is attached (by aminoacyl-tRNA synthetases). tRNAs cope with the degeneracy of the genetic code in two manners: having more than one tRNA (with a specific anti-codon) for a particular amino acid; and 'wobble' base-pairing, i.e. permitting non-standard base-pairing at the 3rd anti-codon position. The record is from RNAcentral. Lineage: Bacteria; Pseudomonadati; Pseudomonadota; Gammaproteobacteria; Methylococcales; Crenotrichaceae.
CGGGGCGUAGCGCAGUCUGGUAGCGCACCUGUAUGGGGUGCAGGUGGUCAGAGGUUCAAAUCCUCUCGUCCCGACCA